CCCUUAGAUGUCCUGGGCUGCACGCGCGCUACACUGAUGUGUCCAGUAAGCACCUAACCUCUUCCGAAAGGAACGGGUAACCUUUGCAAAGCACAUCGUGAUGGGGAUAGAUUAUUGCAAUUAUUAGUCUUGAACGAGGAAUUCCUAGUAAGCACAAGUCAUCAGCUUGGGUUGAUUACGUCCCUGCCCUUUGUACACACCGCCCGUCGCUCCUACCGAUUGAAUGUUCCGGUGAGCUCUUCGGACUGCGCGGUCUGCAGUUUCUGCGUUCCGUGCGGAAAGUUGCGCAAACCUUAACAUUUAGAGGAAGGAGAAGUCGUAACA
Molecule: ribosomal RNA, 324 nt
Filed under: uncultured eukaryote
Lineage: Eukaryota
Description: partial 18S ribosomal RNA
Rfam family: Eukaryotic small subunit ribosomal RNA
Source: RNAcentral